Molecule: long non-coding RNA, 1369 nt
Filed under: Nicotiana benthamiana
Lineage: Eukaryota; Viridiplantae; Streptophyta; Magnoliopsida; Solanales; Solanaceae
Description: long non-coding RNA (NBEN_LNC021269)
Source: RNAcentral
UUCAGUUUGUAGAUACAAUUUCUACAAAUAAACUACAAAUCAGUUUAAGUAUUGUAUAAAGUUGUAUUGUUACAAUUAUACUACAAUUAAACUACAAUCUUGUGUCAAAAAAAUUUAUGCAUACUAAAUUUCAAUUUAUGUACCAUAAUUCAAAUUAAGGGUAUAAUUAUUGCUUCAUUUAGUCUAGGCGAUGAUUUUAGGAUCAUAUAUUCACUUUAGGUGUAUAUUUAACUUAUACCUUCAAGACUUAAUCUUUUGGAUAGUUCAAAGUAGAACUCAUCGAGGAUAAUCUACAUUUAUAAUCCGAAUCUAAUUCCUAAUAACAUACUAAGGAUUAAUACAAUAGGCGUUUGGACAAUAUUUGGUAAAAGCUGAAAUUUUAAGUUGACAAUAAAAAGAGUAUUUGUAAAUUUGAGCUUACAUACAAUACAAAUAUCAAUUGAAAAACAGUAAGUAAUUUUCUGUUCAUUCGAAAUAAAAUAUUGUAAUUUGGUAACUUAUACACCUAAUGAAUUUAAUAGUGAUUACCGUAUAUUAAGGUGGAGAAAAAUUCGAAAUAAAAUAUUGUAAUUUGGUAACUUAUACACCUAAUGAAUUUAAUAGUGAUUGCCGUAUAUUAAGGUGGAGGAAACAUAAAGAAAGAGAAGAGGAGGAAAAAAAGGGAAAAUGAAUAUAUGUUCCUAAAAUCAUGCCUAGAACAAAUGAAGCAAUAAUUAUACCCUUAAUUUGAAUUAUGGUACAUAAAUUAAAAUUUGGUAUGCUUAAAUGUAAUAAACACAAACCUUAAACAUGGGAGGUAAUAAGAUUUGCUAUAUGAUAUACAUAGAUAAAAAUUCCAUGUUUUUACUGCAAAACAAGCCCAAAUUUAAAAGUUUGGGGCCUGACAAGGACCGAGUGCAAAUGAACUCUAGCCUGAGACAUAUAUUAUCAGUUAUUGGAUUGGACUAAUGAAUUUAUUUCGAAAAAAGACAAUUUGAGCCUGCUUGAGUCUAAUUGAAUCUGGCCCAAUGCAUAUUUCAAGACAGUUAAAUAGAUUUAGUCAAAAACGAUUUAGGCCUAUUGAUCAUGAGUCCAAAUGACUCUGGCCCAAUAUCCAUUUGCGAAAAAAAUACAUGGAGUUACUAAAAAAAGAUUUGGGCUUGAUGAUAAUAAGUCCAGGUGACUUUGGCCCAGUGCAUAUUUGCGUGAAUGAGUUUGAAAUUAAAAUCUAUAAUAACCAUUAUAAAUUUUACUUAUAUUUUAUUCAUUUUUUAAAAUAGGAAGCUAAAAGUUUUUUUUGUGGGAACGCAAGUAAAGUAAACAAAAAGAUGUGUUAUGAAAUAAUAUAAAAGACAAGAACAAUAACUCAAGAACAAGAGCAAAUAGAGAG